UGAAUACGAGACGCUAAGGCGUCGAAGUAGUGUAUGUCAUACUUCCAAGAAAAGCUUGCACUGUCAUAGAUAAAAAACGCCUGUACCAUAACCGACACAGGUGGGUAGGUAGAGUAUACUAAGGGGCGCGAGAUAACUCUCUCUAGGGAACUCGGCAAAAUAACUCCGUAACUUCGGGAGAAGGAGUGCCUUAUUAUUAAGGCUGCAAUAACAAGAUCCAAGCAACUGUUUAUCAAAAACACAGGUCUCCGCUAAGUCGUAAGACGAUGUAUGGGGGCUGACGCCUGCCCAGUGCCAGAAGGUUAAAGAAGUUGGUUAGCAUUUGCGAAGCUGAUAACUGAAGCCCUGGUGAACGGCGGCCGUAACGAUAACGGUCCUAAGGUAGCGAAAUUCCUUGUCGGGUAAGUUCCGACCCGCACGAAAGGCGUAAUGAUUUGGAUACUGUCUCGGAGAGGGGCUCGGUGAAAUAGACUUGUCUGUGAAGAUGCGGACUACCUGCACCAGGACAGAAAGACCCUAUGAAGCUUUACUGUAACUUGAAAUUGAAAUUGGACUUUAUUCGCGCAGCAUAGGUGGGAGGCGUUGAUUAUAAUCUUGUGGGAUUAUUGGAGCCAUCAGUGAGAUACCACUCUUGUAAUGUUAGAUUUCUAACUUUGAAUCAUUAUCUGGUCAAAGAACAGUUUCAGGCGGGCAGUUUGACUGGGGCGGUCGCCUCCUAAACGGUAACGGAGGCGUACAAAGGUUUCCUCUGAACGGUUAGAAAUCGUAUCUAGAGUGUAAAGGCAUAAGGAAGCUUGACUGUGAGACCUACAAGUCGAGCAGGGACGAAAGUCGGUCUUAGUGAUCUGACGGUACUGAGUGGAAAGGCCGUCACUCAACGGAUAAAAGUUACUCUAGGAUAACAGGCUGAUCUCCCCCAAGAGUUCACAUCGACGGGGAGGUUUGGCACCUCGAUGUCGGCUCAUCGCAUCCUGGGGCGGUAGUACGCCCCAAGGGUUGGGCUGUUCGCCCAUGAAAGCGGUACGCGAGCUGGGUUCAGAACGUCGUGAGACAGUUCGGUCCAUAUCCGGUGUAGGCGUUAGAAUAUUGAGAGGAGCCUUCUUUAGCACGAGAGGACCGAGAAGGACAUACCUCUGGUGUACCAGUUAUCGUGCCAACGGUAAACGCUGGGUAGCUAUGUAUGGAGUGGAUAACCGCUGAAAGCAUCUAAGUGGGAAGCCCACCUCAAGAUAAG
RNAcentral lists this ribosomal RNA (1234 nucleotides) under metagenome. RNAcentral describes it as "bacterial LSU rRNA". It matches the Rfam family "Bacterial large subunit ribosomal RNA", at positions 1564 to 2808 of the family's 2925-position model. The record is from RNAcentral.